Long non-coding RNA from Triticum aestivum (bread wheat), 2844 nucleotides. RefSeq lists it as uncharacterized. NCBI's taxonomy places the organism in Eukaryota, Viridiplantae, Streptophyta, Magnoliopsida, Poales, Poaceae. The record is from RefSeq and is a predicted model, not a curated record. The transcript has 7 exons.
UCUUUCGGCCGGGGGAUCACGCUGUCGCGUCGUCGACGGGAGGAGGUCAGGCAGAUCGACAAGAGGAGGCCAGGCGGAUUGACAGGAGGAGGCCAGCCGGCGGAGGCGCACCAUCACCACCGGCUGGCACAGCGACGGGAGGAGGCCAGGUGAUGCGCGCCAUGUACACCGGCUGCACCCUGGGCGUCCCCAACAUGCUCAAGGGGAUUGUCCAAGCGGGGGUCAGGCUGUGCGCGCGGCCGAGGAGCGCCUGCAGCAGGCGCUCGAUGCGGCGCUCCCCCGUCACUCCUCCUUCCACGUCUACUGCAGAUGCUUCCCCAUCGCUCCUCCUUCUCCUUCAUUGCCAGGAGGGGCUCGACUGCAGUUCUACUACAUGAGGUGAACCUCUUGUGUUGGGCUCGAAGGUUGCUGAGCGUUAGCCUGGCUUGUAAGUGGAUGCUCCACUGCUCUGAGUCCAAGAUACUGUAGGAAAGUCCAGCUUAUCCAGAGGCACCAACUGGGAGAGGUACAACAUAUGCAUUUCAAAGAGAACUGGACUCUGCUAUUUCCAACUUCACCAAGGCUAUACAAUCAAAUCCAUCAGCUGGGGAGGCGUGGAAGUAGCGGGACAAGCUCGCGCUGCUUUAGGAGAGUUCGUCGAGGCAACCUUGCUAUAUUUGUGCUGAUGACUUGGAUAAAGCAUUGGAAUUUGAACCAAAUUCUCCUGAUAUUUUACACGAAAGGGAUUAAUUUUGUACAGUCAAAUCUCAUCUCGCCUAAUGUCAUUUCUCACAUAUCUUUUGAUGAAAACGAAAGAACAGUAGGACUCAAUGAUCAAUUCAUGUUGUUUUGCAUUUCAGUAGUAAAGCGUUAUAGGUAGGUUGUUAGAGCACACUCUGAAUUCCACCAAUUUCUUUCCAUGGCUUAUAUGUGACCAAAUGCUCUGGAUGAUAUAUGAAGUCCUUCUGUUUACACAAUCUUAACUGUUUCCUGUGAGGCAACUACUAAGAGUGACGAGUACCAUUGCUUAGCAGUUGUGCUUGAGUCAUUGGUAUGAUAGAAGCAUUACAUAGUGCAUUGGUGAUGAAACUGUUGUUUUCUCAAACUGGUAAUAUUGAUCUGUUCUCUUGAAUGAUGUAAAGUUAAUGGAUUGCUAUGCCAGCAUUAGUUUGAUUUAUAGUAGGUUCGUAUGCAUGUAUAUAUUUAUGUAUUUCCUUUUUAUCAAUUUUUUAGUGAUGCUUAGUGUAGUAUUCCAUUUACAUAACCAAAUGUUACUUUAUGAUUUGAUUAUUUGGGGUGGACAAAGCAAUGACUCGUUUGCAUGCUACGCUCACGAUGGCUGUAAGGAUAUAGCUCCUUAUAUUUGUGUAUGUAUAAACUGGAAUGUCAUGUAUAUAAUUAGAGUAUGGAUUUAGGUUUAAUGCUAGAUUUCUAUUCAUAAUCAGUAGACUAUAAAACAUGUAGAACAAAUCUUCCAUAACAUUUUGUUGUACAUUAUGAGUGGAUAAAGAUUUGUAAUGGAUGAAGUAGUUCUGAAAAUCAAGCUUCACAGGGAACUGUUGUACACUUAAACAAGCGAGAGUGUUUUAUCUUAGUGGCGACAUGUUGCUGGUACCCACAUGGUUCUUAUUUCUUUUUUAUCUUCUAUGCAGCCUUUUUCUAUUCAGCAAACCAAAGAUUUAUUAUUUUCAAGCUCUUUUAAGGAUAUAGAUGAUGAUGUAGUUGUUGAAGCUUGCUCUGUUCACGAGAGUUUCUCCAUGCUUAUGAAGAAAAUAGUUGGGUUCGGAGCACCUUCGAUUGGUAUGCAGGUUACCCAAUGACUGUAUCUCUUCGUUGUCUUCUUUCUGGUAGAGGCAAAAGGGUGAUGAUUGCAACAUGUGGAUGGAUUCUUAUGGUUCUCAGCAGCAAGAUGACCAGCCACAACCUGGAGGUGGAUAAAUUGGUUAAAAAAACAUACACCCUCGGUUAGUUCCUCCGUUAUGCGGAGGAGAGAGGCAUGCUGAACAAGCAUGGUGGAUAGAUAGAUGUAAGUGAUCUUUAAUGCGAUUCUAAUUUUGUUGGUUAUUUCAUUUUAAGGGUGCUAAAAUUUUCUUGGAAAUUACUUAGUGAAUUCCCUGUACUCAGCUCUGUAGCUAUUUUCGGUCUCAUUCUUCUUGCCUUUGUAUCCAUUGUAACUUGUCGAUGUUAUGGUUUUCGAUGAGUUCAAUUUUCUUCUUUGCCAAAGACGAGUUAUUGUUGGAUAAUUUGCAUGUCAUGGUGGACAUAAGUUAUAAACUGCAAAGGAGAGCUACUAAUCUUAUUAUAGGUGUGGUACACGUUACAGCUCUUCAGUGCUUGCUGCACCCAUAUAUUUUUAGAGCAGAGGAGAUGAUACAUCAUAUAGUUUGGUCAUGAGGUUUAUUUUUUACCACUGGCUAUGUAGGUUUUGUGCUGGAAUGCUUUCCAUACACAACUAUUAGUUAUCCUUAAUUAUGUUUUGCACCUUCCUAGCAGCUUGUGCAUUGCAGAAUUUUGAAAUUAGCAAGAAUUUUACCUCUCCGGACUGAAUAAUUAGAUGGCUUGGCACUAUGUUCAUAUCUGAUUGUGCGAUGUGUGAUGUUAAGUUGUAGCCCUUCGUAUACUUUCUUUUUCUCUUUGCUUCCUUCAUAUUUUCCUGUAAAUUAACUAGAAGGUUUAUAUUUUAUCAAAUGCAUGGGCACUUGUCGUUGCAACAAGAGUUCCCACCAAAUUAGAUUAGAAGUUUUUUAAACAGAUUCCUAUAUUUUGAAGUAGUUAUGCUCAUCUCAUAGCUUAGAUGGAUCAUGUCUUAUUUUGUAAUGUACUUCAUCGUGUCUCAAGCUUUAUGUUCUUAAUGGUGAGACAUGC